RNAcentral lists this ribosomal RNA (510 nucleotides) under uncultured bacterium. RNAcentral describes it as "bacterial SSU rRNA". It matches the Rfam family "Bacterial small subunit ribosomal RNA", at positions 20 to 518 of the family's 1533-position model. The record is from RNAcentral.
UGGCUCAGAUUGAACGCUGGCGGCAGGCCUAACACAUGCAAGUCGAACGGUAACAGGAAGCAGCUUGCUGCUCGCUGACGAGUGGCGGACGGGUGAGUAAUGUCUGGGAAACUGCCUGAUGGAGGGGGGAUAACUACUGGAAACGGUAGCUAAUACCGCAUAACGUCGCAAGACCAAAGAGGGGGACCUUCGGGCCUCUUGCCAUCAGAUGUGCCCAGAUGGGAUUAGCUUGUUGGUGGGUAACGGCUCACCAAGGCGACGAUCCCUAGCUGGUCUGAGAGGAUGACCAGCCACACUGGAACUGAGACACGGUCCAGACUCCUACGGGAGGCAGCAGUGGGGAAUAUUGCACAAUGGGCGCAAGCCUGAUGCAGCCAUGCCGCCGUGUAUGAAGAAGGCCUUCGGGUUAGUAAAGUACUUUCAGCGGGGAGGAAGGUGUUGUGGUUAAUAACCGCAGCAAUUGACGUUACCCGCAGAAGAAGCACCGGCUAACUCCGUGCCAGCCGCCGC